RNAcentral lists this long non-coding RNA (542 nucleotides) under Homo sapiens (human). RNAcentral describes it as "non-protein coding lnc-C1orf43-3:1". The record is from RNAcentral. Lineage: Eukaryota; Metazoa; Chordata; Mammalia; Primates; Hominidae.
CUCAGAACACUAUUUUGGAUGUAAAAGUUUUGGGUCAGAAUCUUAAGGGUGAAUUUUGAGGGGUAGAAACAUACCCAUUUUCUAUCCCUAAACAACACUUAGGGAUAGAAGGCAUUAGUGAGGAAUGACCUGGGAAUACCUACAUCUUCAUUCCAAUCUUCAGUCCCCCACUCCUCUGUUGCAGUCCUCCAUGCACCUGAGAAUAAAGAAAAAUAGUGAAGUAACUUCACUAUUAAAUGCCAGUACAAAGCAUGUAUAGAAAACAUCAAUGUAUUAAUUUUUUUGGCAGCCAAAAGUAUGACUAAAAUUUAGUAAUCAGAAGGCCAGGUGUGGUGGCUCACACCUAUAAUCCUAAUACUUUGAGAGGCCGAGGUGGGUGGAUCACUUGAGGUCGGGAGUUCGAGACCAGCCUGACCAACAUGGAGAAACCCUGUCUCUACUAAAAAUACAAAAUUAGCUGGGCGUGGUGGCACAUGCCUGUAAUCCCAGCUACGCGGGAGGCUGAGGCAGAAGAAUGGCUUGAACCUGGGAGGUGGAGGUUG